GACGAACGCUGGCGGCGUGCUUAACGCAUGCAAGUCGAACGGAAAGGCUCCAGCUUGCUGGAGUACUCGAGUGGCGAACGGGUGAGUAACACGUGGGUAAUCUGCCCUGCAGUCUGGGAUAAGCCUGGGAAACUGGGUCUAAUACUGGAUAUGACCUUUCUCCUUAUGGGGUUUGGUGGAAAGUUUUUCGGUGUAGGAUGAGCCCGCGGCCUAUCAGCUUGUUGGUGGGGUGAUGGCCUACCAAGGCGACGACGGGUAGCCGGCCUGAGAGGGUGAUCGGCCACAUUGGGACUGAGAUACGGCCCAGACUCCUACGGGAGGCAGCAGUGGGGAAUAUUGCACAAUGGGCGGAAGCCUGAUGCAGCGACGCCGCGUGAGGGAUGCCGGCCUUCGGGUUGUAAACCUCUUUCAGCAGGGACGAAGCGUAAGUGACGGUACCUGCAGAAGAAGCACCGGCUAACUAUGUG
Molecule: ribosomal RNA, 467 nt
Filed under: uncultured bacterium
Lineage: Bacteria
Description: partial 16S ribosomal RNA
Rfam family: Bacterial small subunit ribosomal RNA
Source: RNAcentral